This 375-nucleotide unclassified non-coding RNA is filed under the name uncultured bacterium. Its description in RNAcentral is "contains 16S-23S intergenic spacer region". The record is from RNAcentral.
UCUCGGCUUAUCACCGGCAGUCCCCUUAGAGUGCCCAACUGAAUGAUGGCAACUAAGGGCGAGGGUUGCGCUCGUUGCGGGACUUAACCCAACACCUCACGGCACGAGCUGACGACAGCCAUGCAGCACCUGUGCUAGCCCCUUACGGACACCGGCUUUCACCGGCUUUAACUAACAUGUCAAGCCCAGGUAAGGUUCUUCGCGUUGCGUCGAAUUAAACCACAUGCUCCGCUGCUUGUGCGGGUCCCCGUCAAUUCCUUUGAGUUUUAGCCUUGCGGCCGUACUCCCCAGGCGGGGCACUUAAUGCGUUAGCGCCGGCACGGGAGGAGUCGACACCUCCCACACCUAGUGCCCAUCGUCUACGGCGUGGACUAC